GUGCAUUCCGUUGAUGCAGACGGUGUGAAAACGGAAACAAGUAUGCCGGCUCACUGUGCUGCAUACAGUUACACACUACGUCGUACGAUUGAGACAAGGAAACUUGGAAUGACUUUUCAUCGGUUUCCCAGAGACUAUGGGUUGAGGAGGAAUUGGAAGUUUGUCGGCUUAGACCUGGUGUCAUUCCAUCAGUGUUAAACUUCCCAGCUCAUCUUGGAAGAGUACGUGCCAGAAAGACCACGACCAAGCAGCCUUGAGAUCUUAGGCAGCGUCUCCCUGAGGUCCCUCUCUAUCUCCCCACACAUCCACCAACCACUGGAACACAUCUCCAAAGUUCUGCCGGGCCAGCUCAGCUUCCCCUCAGAAGAAGUGCCGCCACCUGCCAGAUGAAGGAGCCUUUUGAGAGGCAGCUGGCAUCGUGAUUGGACUGUACUUUGGUCUGUUCCAAUCCAGCUUCAGCUCCAGAGACGGCAGGCGGGACGAGUCAACGGAGGCCUGGUGGACGAAGGCAUGCAGCUGAGUACAAUCCAGAAAACAACAGAGGAGGAGUGCAGCAGCCCAGGGCCAGAACAAACAGAGUAGCAUCAUCAAAGAACUACAGACUCUUCACAACCUGCUCAAACUCUUCGUACAAGACCUCACCACACGGGUCAAGAAGGUUUCCGUCUCAUUUCUACUCUGAAGCUCACCUUCUCCUGCUCAAACUGCUGACAAAUGUUUCUGCUGCUCUAAAGUCUGGUCUCCAGAACUUCCUAAAAACUCUCAAAGUCUCUUCUGCUGCAGGUUGC
Long non-coding RNA from Amphiprion ocellaris (clown anemonefish), 788 nucleotides. Lineage: Eukaryota; Metazoa; Chordata; Actinopteri; Pomacentridae. The record is from Ensembl.